Astyanax mexicanus (Mexican tetra) is the source of this 180-nucleotide small nuclear RNA. Its record names the gene U2. It matches the Rfam family "U2 spliceosomal RNA". Rfam says of the family: U2 is a small nuclear RNA (snRNA) component of the spliceosome (involved in pre-mRNA splicing). Complementary binding between U2 snRNA (in an area lying towards the 5' end but 3' to hairpin I) and the branchpoint sequence (BPS) of the intron results the bulging out of an unpaired adenosine, on the BPS, which initiates a nucleophilic attack at the intronic 5' splice site, thus starting the first of two transesterification reactions that mediate splicing. The record is from Ensembl. Lineage: Eukaryota; Metazoa; Chordata; Actinopteri; Characiformes; Acestrorhamphidae.
AAAACUGAACUGUUUAUUUGACCAUCAGAGUAGGUGUAGUAUCUGUUCUUAUCAGUUUAAUAUCAGAUGAAAUUACAUAUGAAAUGGAUUUUUAGAACAGGGAGCCAGAACAGGAGUUUGCUCCUUCUGCUCCACGCAUCGACCUGGUAUUGCAGUACCUCCAUUCUAAAAUUUCCCCUU